This 457-nucleotide ribosomal RNA is filed under the name uncultured bacterium. Its description in RNAcentral is "bacterial SSU rRNA". It matches the Rfam family "Bacterial small subunit ribosomal RNA", at positions 335 to 784 of the family's 1533-position model. The record is from RNAcentral.
ACUCCUACGGGAGGCAGCAGUAGGGAAUCUUUCACAAUGGGCGAAAGCCUGAUGGAGCAACGCCGCGUGGGUGAAGAAGGUCUUCGGAUCGUAAAACCCUGUUGUUAGAGAAGAAAGUGCGUGAGAGUAACUGUUCACGUUUCGACGGUAUCUAACCAGAAAGCCGCGGCUAACUACGUGCCAGCAGCCGCGGUAAUACGUAGGUGGCAAGCGUUAUCCGGAUUUAUUGGGCGUAAAGGGAACGCAGGCGGUCUUUUAAGUCUGAUGUGAAAGCCUUCGGCUUAACCGGAGUAGUGCAUUGGAAACUGGGAGACUUGAGUGCAGAAGAGGAGAGUGGAACUCCAUGUGUAGCGGUGAAAUGCGUAGAUAUAUGGAAGAACACCAGUGGCGAAAGCGGCUCUCUGGUCUGUAACUGACGCUGAGGUUCGAAAGCGUGGGUAGCAAACAGGAUUAGAUA